RNAcentral lists this ribosomal RNA (1122 nucleotides) under Grass-Cactus male plant phytoplasma. Its description in RNAcentral is "bacterial SSU rRNA". It matches the Rfam family "Bacterial small subunit ribosomal RNA", at positions 202 to 1333 of the family's 1533-position model. Lineage: Bacteria; Bacillati; Mycoplasmatota; Mollicutes; Acholeplasmatales; Acholeplasmataceae. The record is from RNAcentral.
CUAGCAAUAGGUAUGCUUAGGGAGGAGCUUGCGUCACAUUAGUUAGUUGGUGGGGUAAAGGCCUACCAAGACUAUGAUGUGUAGCCGGGCUGAGAGGUUGAACGGCCACAUUGGGACUGAGACACGGCCCAAACUCCUACGGGAGGCAGCAGUAGGGAAUUUUCGGCAAUGGAGGAAACUCUGACCGAGCAACGCCGCGUGAACGAUGAAGUAUUUCGGUACGUAAAGUUCUUUUAUUAGGGAAGAAUAAAUGAUGGAAAAAUCAUUCUGACGGUACCUAAUGAAUAAGCCCCGGCUAACUAUGUGCCAGCAGCCGCGGUAAUACAUAGGGGGCAAGCGUUAUCCGGAAUUAUUGGGCGUAAAGGGUGCGUAGGCGGUUAAAUAAGUUUAUGGUCUAAGUGCAAUGCUCAACAUUGUGAUGCUAUAAAAACUGUUUAGCUAGAGUAAGAUAGAGGCAAGUGGAAUUCCAUGUGUAGUGGUAAAAUGCGUAAAUAUAUGGAGGAACACCAGUAGCGAAGGCGGCUUGCUGGGUCUUUACUGACGCUGAGGCACGAAAGCGUGGGGAGCAAACAGGAUUAGAUACCCUGGUAGUCCACGCCGUAAACGAUGAGUACUAAACGUUGGGUAAAACCAGUGUUGAAGUUAACACAUUAAGUACUCCGCCUGAGUAGUACGUACGCAAGUAUGAAACUUAAAGGAAUUGACGGGACUCCGCACAAGCGGUGGAUCAUGUUGUUUAAUUCGAAGGUACCCGAAAAACCUCACCAGGUCUUGACAUGCUUCUGCAAAGCUGUAGAAACACAGUGGAGGUUAUCAGUUGCACAGGUGGUGCAUGGUUGUCGUCAGCUCGUGUCGUGAGAUGUUGGGUUAAGUCCCGCAACGAGCGCAACCCUUAUUGUUAGUUACCAGCACGUAAUGGUGGGGACUUUAGCAAGACUGCCAGUGAUAAAUUGGAGGAAGGUGGGGACGACGUCAAAUCAUCAUGCCCCUUAUGACCUGGGCUACAAACGUGAUACAAUGGCUGUUACAAAGGGUAGCUGAAGCGCAAGUUUUUGGCGAAUCUCAAAAAAACAGUCUCAGUUCGGAUUGAAGUCUGCAACUCGACUUCAUGAAGUUGGAAUC